GCUUGAGUAGUUUAGUUUAAAGACGUUGAUUUGUGGUGUCAAAGAUGUAUUUUUUUACCUCUGGCU
Molecule: transfer RNA, 66 nt
Filed under: Kalotermitidae sp. A SH-2022a
Lineage: Eukaryota; Metazoa; Arthropoda; Insecta; Blattodea; Kalotermitidae
Description: tRNA-His
Source: RNAcentral